Non-coding RNA from Sus scrofa (pig), 2575 nucleotides. Lineage: Eukaryota; Metazoa; Chordata; Mammalia; Artiodactyla; Suidae. The record is from RefSeq and is a predicted model, not a curated record.
GCCAGAUCCUUAAUCCACUGAGCAAGGCCAGGGAUCAAACCUGCAUCCUCAUGGAUCCCAGGCGGGUUCGUUAACCAUAGAGCCACGACGGGAACUCCAGAUUUGCCAAUUAUUUAUAUUCGCCUCAUUUGUUUUAUCACUCUCUCUGCCUGUCUCUUUAUAUAUAUUUAUCUAGCUACAUCUAUAUUUGUGUAUCUUAUGAAUUAUUUUAGAACUGGUUAGAGUCAUUGUAUCUUUUACCCUACAUAUGCUAAUGAUUAUUUUUCUAAGGACUUUUUCUUAUAAACAAAAGUAUAUUUCUCAUAAUCAAUCAUAUUCAUAUCUUGAUAAGUAUAUAUAAAUGAGGCCUACAAUACCCAGAAGGACUUCUCAGAAUUGCUGGCCCAUACCCCUGUAAGCAGCAGUCCAAUUAACUAGAGCUCCGUAUCUCUCUACACUUUUUUUAAAGGUAAAAUUGCAAUACAUUGAAAUGCGUAAAUAUUAAGUGUUCGAUUUAAUGAACUCUAAGGAUGUACAUGCUUCUAAUAUCACACUGAAAUUGUACCCCUUCUCUGAAGCCAGGCUAGGCUAGCUUCCACAUGCCACUUGAACAUCCCUUUCUUACGAAACUUAUUGCAAUUAUUUCUCUUUUAUGUUCACUAGACGAUGAAUUCAUUAAAGAAAGAGACUACACCUCUUCAUUUUUGGGCCCCCACUUUCAAACAAUAUCUGGCAUAUAUCAAGCUAUCAAUAAAUGUUUGCCAGAGAAGUCAAAUGGCCUUGGAACCAAGAACCUGCAGCUUUAAAUAAGGAAGCUGUGUAAUUUGAAAGUGAAGAUCUGCUUACUACUUCUACUAAAUCACCAGUUCAGCAGGACACAACGCUCUCGUCAGCUGAGGAAGAUCUGUAACUCCAAAGAAAGCAGAAAGGAGGCAGCUGUAAAGACGAGAAAUCAGUGAAAUAGAAAACAGAUAAACGAUAGAAAAAAUAACAUAUACAAUAAAUUUUGAACGCAUAACAAAAUCGAUAAAGCCUACAUAAGCUGAUCAAGAAAAAAAAGAAAAAUUACCAAUAUUAGGAAUAAAUGUGUGAAUAUACUAGCGAGGCUACAGGUAUAAUGAGCAACUUUAUGUUAAUAAAUUCAACAACCAGAUGAAAUUCCUGAACAAUACAACUUACUAAAACAGAAGACACAAGAAGAAAUAGGAAAUUUUAUUAGCCCUGUAUCUAUUAAAUAAAUUGAAUUUGUUAUUGGAAUCUUUGCUCAAACACAACCUCAGUGUCAGAUGGGUUCACUGAGAAACUGUUAAACAUUUACCUAGGAAAAGACAUCAUCCUUACACAAAUGCUUUCAAAAACAUAAGAGGAAGAAGCACUUCGCUAUGUGUUUUAUGAGGCCAGUAUGAUCCCAAUACUAAAUCUGACAGAGACAUUUCAACGAAAGAAAAUUAAAACACUAGUCAUGUCAAACUGGCCACCGAGUUUAGUUUCCUUUCCACACUCCCAACAGCCAGACAAGCUUUCCUGAACUGGGGGGAGGAGAGGGAAGAGCAGGCUGGCUGACUAGUGGGUGAUAAUAUCAAACUUUUGAGCAACCCCCCACUGAAUGUGGAAGAUAAUGCAGUCCAAACUGAUUUUCCUCAGGUUCCUUCAAGAUCUAAACAGAAGCCAGGAGUGGGUAAAGCAAUGUAAGAAAUGUGACUUUGAAGCACCUGAUCUGCUAAACAAACAUUAUUGCCAAAUUCUCCGAGAAACCUAUGGUUUGUAGAACGGGUACUUAUAAGAGAGUUGUCUGAGAUUAUGCUAAGCCAGCAGGAGUUGAUUUCACUAGACAUCUGAACAAUCCCCAUAGCCGACAAUGAAAAUGAAUAAAAUAAUUGAGUGACGAUGAAAUCAGAACAGAGGAAAAACAUGGUAAAACUUCUAGACAUGAGCAAUCACAGAAAUAAACAACGGCAAUACUCAGAACUCCAACUCAGAGGAAGAAGGUAAAGAGUAAGAUGAAGACAUUUUAUCCUUAAACUUUGCAGAGAAUGAAAACAAAGAGCAGCGGAAAUCUUUAUUUGAAGUUUGAGUCUUAUAAAGCAUGAAGUCUGGAUUAACGUGAAACCGACAAAAUCUCCAAAGAUCUCUCUUCUCCUUAGGAUGUUCAAGCACUGCUGGAGUGCAGGAUACCUUCUGGCGAGGCAGUUCUGAGAAAGUGCUUCCAGACAACAGCAGCUGGCACAUCAGUCCUUUUGAAAACACAUCAGAAACAGGUGCUGGAGCCUGCUUCCAUGGGAAAGACACAGGGAAAUGAGAAACUCAUCUCUCCUCCUUUAUCACUGAUAACGAGGGGGACAUGCCGGGGGAAGAGUAAUCCCCAGUGUUGGUGAGGUUCACCGAUGAAUAUCAAGGCCAGGUAGAGGAAUACAGGCUUUCCACUUUCUGAAGCUGAUACAGAAAUUUUGGCUGUGAAAUUUCACAAUAUGAUAACGGAGGAGGGAGGGACAAACAAGGAGCCCUGAUGUGGUCUGGCUCAGAUUAUGUCUAGUGGACUUUCUCUCAAACGCAAGUCAUGGUAACUAGACUUUUAGAGAAAUAACCCCAAGAUAGC